This 253-nucleotide ribosomal RNA is filed under the name uncultured bacterium. RNAcentral's name for it is "partial 16S ribosomal RNA". It matches the Rfam family "Bacterial small subunit ribosomal RNA", at positions 524 to 776 of the family's 1533-position model. The record is from RNAcentral.
UACGUAGGGGGCGAGCGUUGUCCGGAAUUAUUGGGCGUAAAGGGCUCGUAGGCGGUUUGUCGCGUCGGGAGUGAAAACCUUGGGCUUAACUCAGGGCUUGCUUUCGAUACGGGCAGACUAGAGGUAUGCAGGGGAGAACGGAAUUCCUGGUGUAGCGGUGAAAUGCGCAGAUAUCAGGAGGAACACCAACGGCGAAGGCAGCUCGCUGGGACGGUACUGACGCUGAGACGCGAAAGCAUGGGGAGCGAACAGG